GCCCGCGCUUCUGCACCACUGCAUACGUGUCAGACAUGGCGUGGGACGGAUCCUGGGGCACCGACGGAUCCCGGGGCACCGAGAUGCUCCUGCGGGCAGGGACAGCGUGGAGGAAGUGAAAGGGCAGCACUCAGAGCUGGUGGGUACGUCCCGUGCUCGGCACGCAAACCACUGCUUCCUUCCCGCAGGAGGGCGCGCCGGAACGGAGCGAGGAGGCGGGCUGGGGGGCAGGCGGAGGAGGGGGCUCUGGGUAGGGGGAAGGUGUCUGGUUUGCGUGUCCCUAGCGCUCAGUACGUUCGUUGGAGAUGAAGCACAGGACGGGCCUGGCAGCGGUUUUUUCGCAGAUUCUCUGGCUGACAGGCGGCUUCGGUAGAGCACACUCCGUCAGUCUUCAAGGCAGCUGAGCGGGCCCGGAUGUCCUGAUGGGCGGCACGGGGAAGGGAUGAGUGAGAAAAGAAAGGAGCCACAUCAGAGUCCUGGGGCACCAAUACACUUGCAGAACACAGACCAGAACCUGGAGGCUCAGCGAUUCAGCGAUCCCGCCACACUUCCCCCUUGUUCCCUUGUUCCUGGUUAAGGCCUCCGCAGCAGGGGGCACCCUCGCCACCCAGCCUUCUGUAGAGAGGGCCCUCAGCACAUCUGGCCUUCGGGAUCCACGGACCUGCAUGGCAUCCUAUCUCAUGUGGGUAUUCACGUUUGCAUUUCGUCUGUAUAGUUUCAUAUCUUAUAAUUAUGUUUACAUUUAGUAUGCGUUUUAUUUAUGUGCUACACUAUUUUUACAGGUGUGGUAAAUUAGAUUUUUUUACUUGUUGGUUAUAUAUGGUCUUAUGCAAUAAGACUAUUGUGUAAAUUGUCAUUUGUAAUCAUUUACUUUUAUGUAUCUAUAAUAUGUAUCACAUAUUUCAAAAUUUCAUCUAUGUCACCACACAGUAAGUUUACACAUCUGUGCAGUGUCUAUGCCAUGCCUCCGGCGCCCCGUCAGCACCUACAACCCUUGGCUGCCUUACACUCUGGUAACGUUUAGACUCCUUGUCGGUAGUGACAAAGUGAGCGCCAAAGAUGUCCUAAGUGGUUUUUGGAUUUUUUUUUUUUAACCAACACCACUUAAUUCUUGGGACAGUUUGGUCUUAAUGCACCCAUUUCCCCGAAGGAGAAACUGAGGCCAGAGCCACCAAAUAAACCGCCCGGCCCACGGCCCAGUGUCCUCACUCUUGAAGGUCAGGGCCUCCUGGUUCCUCUCCCCCUGCUCCCACCGGGGUGACCGGUGCGCCAGGGGCGGCCAGGUGGUUCCGCGCAGGUGUGCGCUGGCUCUCCCCUGCUGCGACGCCCCUCCCGCCCGCGCGAGACUGUUCCGGGAGCCCGACCAGGAAACCAGCCCCGAGGUAGUAUCCCUCCUGGCCCGCUAUGGACUUCGCCCUCAGGCUGACAACCAAGACAGCGCGAGAGAGCGACAAAGUGUUGCGGAGAGAAAAGCAAAGAGCCAGAGGGGGAAACGUCCCUGAGCACCCGGAGAGGCAGAGCCGCAGGGCGCACAGGACAGAGUUCCGACCAUCCGGACAGAGGACUGAGCGUGCGGCGCAGCGGUCCACACU
Molecule: long non-coding RNA, 1592 nt
Organism: Tupaia belangeri chinensis (Chinese tree shrew)
Lineage: Eukaryota; Metazoa; Chordata; Mammalia; Scandentia; Tupaiidae
Exons: 3
Source: RefSeq, a predicted model, not a curated record